UGGGGAGUUUUGGACAAUGGGCGCAAGCCUGAUCCAGCCAUGCCGCGUGCGGGAAGAAGGCCUUCGGGUUGUAAACCGCUUUUGUCAGGGAAGAAAUCUUCUGAGUUAAUACCUCGGGAGGAUGACGGUACCUGAAGAAUAAGCACCGGCUAACUACGUGCCAGCAGCCGCGGUAAUACGUAGGGUGCAAGCGUUAAUCGGAAUUACUGGGCGUAAAGCGUGCGCAGGCGGUUUUGUAAGACAGAGGUGAAAUCCCCGGGCUCAACCUGGGAACUGCCUUUGUGACUGCAAGGCUUGAGUGCGGCAGAGGGGGGAUGGAAUUCCGCGUGUAGCAGUGAAAUGCGUAGAUAUGCGGAGGAAACACCGAUGGCGAAGGCAAUCCCCUGGGCCUGCACUGACGCUCAUGCACGAAAAGCGUGGGGGAGCAAAACAGGAUUAGAUACCCUGGUAGUCCACGCCCUAAAACGAUGUCAACUGGUUGUUGGGAAGGUUCCUUCUCAGUAACGUAGCUAACGCGUGAAAGUUGACCGCCUGGGGAGUACGGCCGCAAGGUU
This 554-nucleotide ribosomal RNA is filed under the name uncultured bacterium. Its description in RNAcentral is "partial 16S ribosomal RNA". It matches the Rfam family "Bacterial small subunit ribosomal RNA", at positions 355 to 895 of the family's 1533-position model. The record is from RNAcentral.